Long non-coding RNA from Thalassophryne amazonica, 507 nucleotides. RefSeq lists it as uncharacterized. The record is from RefSeq and is a predicted model, not a curated record. The transcript is spliced from 3 exons. NCBI's taxonomy places the organism in Eukaryota, Metazoa, Chordata, Actinopteri, Batrachoidiformes, Batrachoididae.
CUCUGAUACGCUCCGGUUCGGUUUGGUUUUUUGUUUCGGACUUCAACCGUUCAAGUUCAUGGUCAUCACCGGAGGAGCUUUAUCAGCGGUCUGGACUUUUUAGAGUUUUCCAGCCAGAACCUGUCUUCACUUCGGGUGCUGAUCCUAACAUCUGUGGACUGCAGUGGACUCCAGAAAGGUACAGAUCUGCUGUCGAACAGCUGGAGACAGAGGAUGCCUCGCAAGUACAAGGGAUAAAGUUCAGAUAUGGCUGAAUCACAGAUACCAAAGAAGCUAAGUGAUGCCGUAGCAGCAGUGCUACCGGAUCUUCCUGAUCAAGUUAUCAAGUCAAUAGAAGAUACUUUGAAGGCACUUGGUGCAACAAGAACAGAUGAUUUACAGUACAUUACAGAGGGAGACUUACUACCAGUAUUAAUGCCCAUACAAGGGUGAUUCUUAGACUACGGGCACUAUUGGCCUUGUAAAUGUAAUUUCCACCACACCAUUGCUUUACAAUAUAAAGCGCCU